Molecule: ribosomal RNA, 31 nt
Filed under: Trypanosoma cruzi
Lineage: Eukaryota; Euglenozoa; Kinetoplastea; Trypanosomatida; Trypanosomatidae
Description: partial 5.8S ribosomal RNA
Source: RNAcentral
AACGUGUCGCGAUGGAUGACUUGGCUUCCUA